ACCGGAUGAUGUAGGCAUUUACGGAGCAAGUCCCUAAAGCUCUCCCAAGUCUCAAAGAAAAGUUCCCCAUCUGUUUGUGUGAAACUUGUGAUUGCCCUUCGCAGCU
Molecule: small nucleolar RNA, 106 nt
Organism: Malania oleifera
Lineage: Eukaryota; Viridiplantae; Streptophyta; Magnoliopsida; Santalales; Ximeniaceae
Source: RefSeq, a predicted model, not a curated record